UUCCGGUUGAUUUUGCCGGAAGUCACUGCUAUCGGUGUUCGACUAAGCCAUGCGAGUCAAAUGUUCUUCGUGAACAUGGCGUACUGCUCAGUAACACGUGGACAACCUGCCCUUUGGACGGGGAUACCCCUGGGAAACUGGGACUAAUCCCUGAUAAGUCUCCGUAGCUGGAAUGCUCGGAGACGGAAAGCUCCGGCGCCACAGGAUGGGUCUGCGGCCUAUCAGGGUAGUAGUGGGUGUAGAGUACCUACUAGCCUACGACGGGUACGGGUUGUGAGAGCAAGAGCCCGGAGAUGGAUUCUGAGACACGAAUCCAGGCCCUACGGGGUGCAGCAGGCGCGAAAACUUUACAAUGCGGGACACCGCGAUAAGGGGACCUCGAGUGCUGGCAUACAAUGCUGGCUGUCCAGCUGCCUAAAUAGCAGUUGAUAGCAAGGGCCGGGCAAGACCGGUGCCAGCCGCCGCGGUAACACCGGCGGCUCGAGUGGUAACCGCUAUUAUUGGGUCUAAAGGGUCUGUAGCCUGCAGGUUAAGUCUCUUGUUAAAUCCGGCAG
This 554-nucleotide ribosomal RNA is filed under the name uncultured archaeon. RNAcentral's name for it is "bacterial SSU rRNA". It matches the Rfam family "Archaeal small subunit ribosomal RNA", at positions 1 to 557 of the family's 1478-position model. The record is from RNAcentral.